This 5361-nucleotide long non-coding RNA is filed under the name Sus scrofa (pig). RNAcentral describes it as "lncRNA (ENSSSCG00045030621.1, ENSSSCG00105007866.1, ENSSSCG00110009594.1)". The record is from RNAcentral. Lineage: Eukaryota; Metazoa; Chordata; Mammalia; Artiodactyla; Suidae.
CCGCUCCCGCAGCAUAUGGAGGUUCCCAGGCUAGGGGUCCAAUCGGAGCUGUAGCCCCCCGCCUACGCCAGAGUCACAACAACGCAGGAUCCGAGCCGCGUCUGCGAUCUACACCACAGCUCACGGCAACGCCGGAUCAUUAACCCACUGAGCAAGGGCAGGAACUGAACCCGCAACCUCAUGGUUCCUAGUCGGAUUCGUUAACCACUGCGCCACGAAGGGAACUCCCCAUUCUUAGAUUCUAACCAGUCUGUCACUGUCAUUAUCUUCUGUCCUCAAAUAUUAAAUAUUUCCAAGAUCAAUUUCCUUUCCAACAAUCCCUUUCAGGCUAAACAGACCUCAACUUUUAAACUUCCUUUUUUAUUUUAAACUUCGAUUUUAAUCUCUUUAAACAUUUGUUUGCUAUUUGCUUAAAAGUUAUGAGUGAAAACAUUUCCCCUCCCCAACUGACAAUAUAUUUGGAGAACACCAACUUUUAGUUGGAAAUAUAAUGAAGGAGGAGGUCUAGUAAAUUUAUCUCCUCUCAACUGUAAGAUAAAGAGACUUUCCCAGGUUCAAACUAAAAAAUUAUAAAGGAUGCUUUUCCUAAGCCAGGGGGAAAAUGUGAUGUCCAGAAAUACACACUAUGUUCUUGUGCUCUUAUGUUCAUAAACUAACUUCUGAUGACCAAAGGGGCCUAUCAGUUGCCUUCUGAUACACGGCCACAGGUGCCCUAACCUCUAGAACUCUAAAUCAAUAAACUGGCAUUUGGCUGUGAGCCACACGGCAAGUCCAAUACACUGGCAUUUUGAUCAGCAUAUUAACCUUCCACUACUUUCAUUACCAUUAGUGGCUUCUGAAGUUAACUCAGAUUCUGAAAAAAAUCAAGUUCCUAAAAAACUUAGGUUCUGACAAAAUCAAGUGUAAGUUCUAACUCCUACCAACCUCCAAAGUCAACCGUAUUUGAACAGCCAAUCUGCCCCUCUCCAGAACUUCCCUCUCUCCACAUGAAUUCCAGCUCUUAAGCCAUUUUACUCCUUUAUCUAAAACAGACCCUGAUGCAACAUGAGCUACGAGGUGAUGCUAAUGAAAACUUCACUAUGAAAAGAUGCAUUCCAAAUUUGACUUUAUUCUUCAUGUUAUUUAGAAGUGCAAGGGCUGAGGAUCUUGCAACUUUUAGAGCCAAUUCCUAAUUUUCUACUGGGCUUGCUGUGUUGGUCACAGGCUUGCCUUGGUGGUGACACCACACCAUUUAAUCCCUGGAGACACUGGAGCUUUCUCUUGUUUUGCUGCUUGUCAUUUCUUUGGCCUCUCACCCAUGGCCCAGAUAACCUGUAGGUUUUCUUUCUGACCUGCAUUCCCAGAGAAUGAUCUAAUAUAGGUUGAGAAACAGAGAUGUUCACCAGGGACAUGUUAGAACUCGUGCAAGCAUAUAGUUUUCCGGGUUCCAUUAAGGAAAAGAUAUUAUUCAAGUAUUUUCUGCCACUUGUCCUCUGGCCCCUAUUUUCAAAGACAAAGUAAGGCUAAGGUCUUACAAAAUGAAUCAUAAGCCUCUGGACUAGAUGGUUUUCAGGAAAAUAAACCACGUUCUCAUUCUACUCAGCUCCAAAGAUAAAUGAGCCUUUAUGAAAUCACCACUUGUCAAAUUUUAGUGAAGUAAUCAAAGAAUAUUAACACUUAUCUGAAAAGGCUAUUAAAAUACUUUCUUCUCCUACUACAUACAUAUAUGAAGUCCGGUUUUCUUCAUAUACUUCAACCAAAAUAAUGUACUGCCACACACUGUAUGCAGAAGUAGAUAGGAGUUCAGAUGUCUUAUGCAGUUUUUAAAACGUAGAAGCACUCUUUUAAAUAAAAAUGCUAUGCUGACAUGUAAUGAGUUCAUUAUUUAUUACUUCACUUGGAAAUAACAUCAUUAGUAUUUAAUUUCUAAUGCAAUAAAUAUAAAACUCAUAAAGAAAAGCUCUCUGGCAGGGGGAGGACUCCACAAUUUUUUUAAAUGUAAAAACAUUCCAAGACCAAAAAGUCUGAGAUCUGCAGUCCUAGAAAAACCCAACUUACCAAAACUAACUAAAAAAAGAACCAGAAAUCUAAAUAGUCCUUUAGAAACUUAUCAUUAAAGGUUUCUUCCUAAAGAUCAUCCAAUGUCAAGGUUAUUUCACUGGUGAAUUUUUUUUUUCCCCAAAAAGUUAAGGAAGUAAGUAAUUUACAUGAAGAAAAGUAGAAGCAUGACGAGAUGUAAGGCAGCCCCCGAGACUGGGGUGGGGCUAUAUCCAGCUCAGAGUCUCAGUUUCUGCCGACUUCCUGGUGUAGAUCUGCUAUAGAUGCAUACUAAAAGAAACGCCUUAUUCCAUAGGUGAGCUGUCUCUGUAUCUUGAAAACAACACAUGCAGUUGCUGAAAAGCUAUGUAUAGACCUGUUGCAGACCUUGAGGUCAGUACCUUCGCACACACUGUACAGCAACCUUACAGUUUUUGGUGGGGACCUGCGUUCAAGGCUAAUCUCUGAUUUGUCUGAGCCAAUCAUGGUGAUUGUUCUGGUCAGUGACUGGUUGAGAAAAUCAGGACUCAAGAUGACUGGUUCAGGGUCUUGCGUAUGUCAAAUCUUACAUUAAUGAGAUGCAAGGAGAAACACACUCAGGCUUCUGGGAGAUUUUCCAACUCAAGAGAGGUAACAGGAAGUGUUUUGUUUUCUUCUGAAUGAUGAUGUGUAAGGAAUGAGGUCUAGAAACAGACAUUUAGUUUCAGUCUGAAAAGAAAGCCAGUGUACAUAGGAGGGCAGAGGUGAGAAAAUUCCAGAUACAUGGAGCUGGAGUAACAUGAAUAAACCAACCCUGAAAGCCCAGCUUACCUUUCAUCUUAUAGUGAGCCCAUCUCCUGUUUCAGCAACUUUGAGUUGGGUUUUUCUUUUCUUGCAACUGUAAGCAUCCCAAGGAAAUUAGUAGUUUAGAAUUUACAAUUUAAAGAAACAAUUGUACAAAAAGUCACUCUCAAACUGAUAAGCUAGACAAAACUGCAUUUUGUCUAAAGAAAGGUAGCUUCACUGUUGAGUUCCUACUGGCACCUAAUGUAUUAUUAACCGAUAAACAACUGAGAAGUGGUGAGGGUAUACACAUGAGAGAAAACCCAUGAAGAGCAUUAAAAGCACAGGAAGCAAGCACUACUUUGUACCUGCUUAAAUGCAGUGCUAUCCCGUGAUGCUGACUAUUUAUGAAGACAAGUCAAGAGUACUUAUGUGCUUCAUGAUGGGACUAGAGACCUGGAGUAACCUUAGAUGGGCCAGUUAGUAUGUACUCAGACAAAGUUCUUGGGAGCAGAAAGGAACCCUGGACUGAAGGAUGACUUUUCCCUUGGGGAACAGUUUCCUGGGCCCUGAGACUGAAUGGUUUCUUAAGAAGCUUUUAGACAAGAUGGAUUCAAUCUCUAGCCUCUUGCUGUUAAUAUAUGUCCUGAGAAAUUACAGAGCAAUUCAGGGAUCUCCUGGUACCAAAUUACAUUUUCCCCAGUAUGAAGUUCAAUUAUAUCUAGUUUCCUUUAAUAAACACAUAUGAAUGAGGCAAAAAGAAAAUAAGACAAAUAUUUUGUAGAGUUAGCGCCAAAUGAAUACCCCCAAAGCCACCAUUUGGUCAUGUCCUUACUUCACAAGGUGCUUUUGACCUUUCCCAGAGGAAAAGCCACCCACAUGGUGAGAUUCACUGGCCAGAGGUCCACAAAAUAUUUCUGGAUCUGUUAGGAGACUCUCUGGCUCUAAAAUGAAUGCAGUUUACUUACACAGAAAAUCUCUUUCCUUGAAGAUGUAUUUCAUUUAACCAGGAUGUUUCCUGUCACCGGAAAGAAAUACCAUCCUUUAAGACUAAAUACAAUUCGGAGUUCCUGCUGUGCCUCAGCGGUAAUGAACCCAAGUAGGAUCCAUGAGGAUAUGGGUUUGAUCCGGAGCCUCACUCAGUGGAUUAAGGACGCUGUGUUGCAGUGAGCUGUAGCGCAGGUUGGAGAUGCAGCCUGGAUUAUGCGUUGCUGUGGCUAUGAUGUAGGUGGGCAGUUACAGCUCUGAUUCGACCCCUAGUCUGGGAACCUACAUGUGCUGUAGGUGUGGCCCUAAAUAGACAAAUACAAAUAAUAAUAAAAGACUAAACACAACCCUUUCCAGUUGUACCACUGUGAUCAGGGGCAAGAAGACAGCAAACUGUUUGGGAUUUUGAUGCAGAGGAUACAUAAUCUGCACCCUGCUCGUCCUGGUUGUUACUUACAGUUAAAAUGAUUCACUAAAGGCUUAAUAAGUGACUCCGUCAAGAGCACAUGCAUUCCCACUGUAGGUCAGCUUGCAUUCUCUUCAGGUAUUACACAAGAAGUCAGCAAUUAGUACACACCCCAAGUUAGAUUUGCCUGAUUUUGAUGACCAUAACCUGAUGUUCUUUCCAUUUUCUGUACCGUAAUUUAGUGUAAGAGUGAACAUGUAUACAUUUUCAUCAUCCUACAUGUUCCGUCCAAUAUUGUAUCAUUAAUAGGACACAUUCAGAUAAGUUCAGAAGAUGUAAACUACCACCUUUCUGCCAAGUGUGAAAAGACAUCCUUUUAUUAUGAAAUACACACAUUUCUAUUAUAAGCUGAAUCUCGUUUGUAGGAUAAAGCUUCUGUUUAAAAAGACUAUUUCAGAACCAAGUACAUGUUUUGAAAAUAUGCUAUGCAGAGCUUAAUAUGGUAAACUAAUUUUUCUUAAUCUGACAAAAAUGGACAGAAGGUAAAAUGAAAAAAAUUUUAUUUCCUCAGUGUUUUAUCCACUGUCAAUACUGUAUAUUUGAUGCAAUAUAUUUGCAAAGAAAAAACAAUCUCAGCUUUUAUUCUCCACUUUAAACAACUACAAUAUUUACAGGCUGUUUAGAAUAACAAACACUCAGACGCGCGCGCACACACACACUCACAGACACACGUGAGUACAUAUAUUCUUAUCUCUGGUUUAUACUGAAUGCUGGUAGAGGCAAUGAAUACUUUCAGAGCCCAUGGUCAGAAGAGUGAAACCCAUUUCCUUCCUCCCACCUACCUUCCUAGAAUUAUCUCAGUAUUCUUUCUUCCAUUUUCUCAUGCAGAGCUCAUUGCCAGACUUGUACAGGGUUAAGAUUAUCAUUCUUUACAUUUUAUUUAAACUAUAAUAAGCUUUAAAAAAGCAUAAGCAGACAUGAUUUCCCCCGCAUUUCUAUUAUUUUGGUUGUAGAAUCAAGCUUCGUGUAUAAAAAAAAUCCUGUUUAACCACAAUUACACUAAAUCCAAGAGCCAUCUGGAGCAGCCAUCUCACUCUCUACCGCCACUCCCUUUUGAAGUCCAGGGUACCACCACCCAUCUGUGCAAAUAACAGGCAGGGAUUCGUCCAAAUCACAGUCUUAGAUGACCU